Molecule: ribosomal RNA, 254 nt
Filed under: uncultured bacterium
Lineage: Bacteria
Description: partial 16S ribosomal RNA
Rfam family: Bacterial small subunit ribosomal RNA
Source: RNAcentral
UACGUAGGGUGCGAGCGUUGUCCGGAAUUAUUGGGCGUAAAGAGCUCGUAGGCGGUGUGUCACGUCGGCCGUGAAAACCUGCAGCUUAACUGUGGGCGUGCGGUCGAUACGGGCAUCACUGGAGUUCGGCAGGGGAGACUGGAAUUCCUGGUGUAGCGGUGAAAUGCGCAGAUAUCAGGAGGAACACCGGUGGCGAAGGCGGGUCUCUGGGACGGUACUGACGCUGAGACGCGAAAGCGUGGGGAGCGAACAGG